This 301-nucleotide ribosomal RNA is filed under the name uncultured bacterium. RNAcentral's name for it is "partial 16S ribosomal RNA". It matches the Rfam family "Bacterial small subunit ribosomal RNA", at positions 509 to 807 of the family's 1533-position model. The record is from RNAcentral.
CAGUAGCCGCGGGAAUACGAAGGGGGCAAGCGUUGUCCGGAAUUAUUGGGCGUAAAGGGCUCGCAGGCGGUUUCUUAAGUCUGAUGUGAAAGCCCCCGGCUCAACCGGGGAGGGUCAUUGGAAACUGGGAAACUCGAGUGCAGAAGAGGAGAGUGGAAUUCCACGUGUAGCGGUGAAAUGCGUAGAGAUGUGGAGGAACACCAGUGGCGAAGGCGACUCUCUGGUCUGUAACUGACGCUGAGGAGCGAAAGCGUUGGGAGCGAACAGGAUUAGAUACCCCGGUAGUCCCUGUCUCUUAUAC